AGAAUCAACGCUGGCGGCGUGCCUAACACAUGCAAGUCGCACGAGAAAGGGGCUUCGGCUCUGAGUAAAGUGGCGCACGGGUGAGUAACACGUGAAUAAUCUACCUCCGAGUGGGGAAUAACUGAGAGAAAUCUUAGCUAAUACCGCAUAACACUUACGAGUCAAAGCAGCGAUGCGCUUGGAGAGGAGUUCGCGGCCGAUUAGUUAGUUGGCGGGGUAAUGGCCCACCAAGACGAUGAUCGGUA
RNAcentral lists this ribosomal RNA (245 nucleotides) under uncultured bacterium. RNAcentral describes it as "partial small subunit ribosomal RNA". It matches the Rfam family "Bacterial small subunit ribosomal RNA", at positions 26 to 285 of the family's 1533-position model. The record is from RNAcentral.